UCCACGGAACGACGCGUUGAUCCGGGCAGUCACCGCCGACUCGCACACCCGAGCCGGCGAUAUCGGUCGCCAGACCGUCCGGGGAGCCAGUGGCGAGACCGCCGUUCGCACGA
This 113-nucleotide non-coding RNA is filed under the name unclassified sequences. Its description in RNAcentral is "c-di-GMP sequence". It matches the Rfam family "c-di-GMP-II-GAG riboswitch aptamer". The record is from Rfam by way of RNAcentral.